UACGUAGGGUGCGAGCGUUAAUCGGAAUUACUGGGCGUAAAGCGUGCGCAGGCGGUUUUGUAAGCCAGAUGUGAAAGCCCCGGGCUUAACCUGGGAAUGGCAUUUGGGACUGCAAGGCUUGAGUGCGGCAGAGGAGACUGGAAUUCCUGGUGUAGCAGUGAAAUGCGUAGAUAUCAGGAGGAAUACCGAUGGCGAAGGCGGUUCUCUGGGCCUGUACUGACGCUGAGGAGCGAAAGCGUGGGGAGCGAACAGG
Molecule: ribosomal RNA, 253 nt
Filed under: uncultured bacterium
Lineage: Bacteria
Description: partial 16S ribosomal RNA
Rfam family: Bacterial small subunit ribosomal RNA
Source: RNAcentral